UACGUAGGGUGCAAGCGUUACUCGGAAUGACUGGGCGUAAAGCGUGCGCAGGCGGCUUUGCAAGACAGAUGUGAAAUCCCCGGGCUUAACCUGGGAACUGCAUUUGUGACUGCAUGGCUGGAGUGCGGCAGAGGGGGAUGGAAUUCCGCGUGUAGCAGUGAAAUGCGUAGAUAUGCGGAGGAACACCGAUGGCGAAGGCAAUCCCCUGGGCCUGCACUGACGCUCAUGCACGAAAGCGUGGGGAGCAAACAGG
RNAcentral lists this ribosomal RNA (253 nucleotides) under uncultured bacterium. Its description in RNAcentral is "partial 16S ribosomal RNA". It matches the Rfam family "Bacterial small subunit ribosomal RNA", at positions 524 to 776 of the family's 1533-position model. The record is from RNAcentral.